Molecule: ribosomal RNA, 502 nt
Filed under: uncultured bacterium
Lineage: Bacteria
Description: bacterial SSU rRNA
Rfam family: Bacterial small subunit ribosomal RNA
Source: RNAcentral
GAUCAUGGCUCAGGAUGAACGCUAGCGGCAGGCUUAAUACAUGCAAGGUCGUGGGGCAGCAGGUUUGUAGCAAUACAGAUGCUGGCGACCGGCAAACGGGUGCGGAACACGUACAGAACCUUCCUUUGAGCGGGGAAUAGCCCAGAGAAAUUUGGAUUAAUACCCCAUAGUAUAAUGAAGUGGCAUCACUUUAUUAUUAAAGAUUUAUCACUCGAAGAUGGCUGUGCGGCUGAUUAGGUAGUUGGCGGGGUAAAGGCCCACCAAGCCUGCGAUCAGUAACUGGUGUGAGAGCACGACCAGUCACACGGGCACUGAGACACGGGCCCGACUCCUACGGGAGGCAGCAGUAAGGAAUAUUGGUCAAUGGAGGCAACUCUGAACCAGCCAUGCCGCGUGGAGGAUGAAGGUCCUCUGGAUUGUAAACUUCUUUUAUAUGGGACGAAAAAAGGCUUUUCUAAGUCGUCUGACGGUACCAUAUGAAUAAGCACCGGCUAACUCCGUG